UACGUAGGUGGCGAGCGUUAUCCGGAAUUAUUGGGCGUAAAGAGCGCGCAGGUGGUUGAUUAAGUCUGAUGUGAAAGCCCACGGCUUAACCGUGGAGGGUCAUUGGAAACUGGUCGACUUGAGUGCAGAAGAGGGAAGUGGAAUUCCAUGUGUAGCGGUGAAAUACGUAGAGAUAUGGAGGAACACCAGUGGCGAAGGCGGCUUCCUGGUCUGUAACUGACACUGAGGCGCGAAAGCGUGGGGAGCAAACAGGAUUAGAUACCCU
RNAcentral lists this ribosomal RNA (265 nucleotides) under uncultured prokaryote. RNAcentral describes it as "partial 16S ribosomal RNA". It matches the Rfam family "Bacterial small subunit ribosomal RNA", at positions 524 to 788 of the family's 1533-position model. The record is from RNAcentral.